CAAGAGUUUUAUCCAGGCCAGAAGGCUUUGCUGACUUUGGUGAAGAUGGCUUCCUGUUUCCAGGAGAAGGAGAAGCUGCCCAAGACCGGCUGCUGUGAGGUUCCGGGGAUCAAACUCAGGUCACCAGGAUUGAACAGUGAAUGGUUUUAUCGUCUGAGCUGUCUCUGUGGUACCAACUCCUUCUCCCCCUGCACACCAACAGUAACUGUGCUUGGAGAGUGUGGUGACUUGAAGAGACAUUCAUGUGCUUGAACGCUUGGCCCAUAGGGACUUGGCAUUAAUAGGAGGUGUGGCUUUGUUGGAGUGGGUGUGGCCUCAUGGGAGGAAGUGUGUCACUGUAGACGGGCUUUGAGGUCUUAUACAUGCUCAAGCUACUCCCAGACACGGUCUCCCCCUUACUGCCUGUGGAUCAAGAUGUAAAACCCUCAGCUCCUUCCCCAACACCAUAUCUGCCUGGAUGCUGCCAUGUGUCCCACCAUAAUGAUAAUGGACUGAACCUCUGAAACUGUACGCCAGCUCCAAUGAAAUGUCCUUUAUAACCGUU
This is a long non-coding RNA of Rattus norvegicus (Norway rat), 544 nucleotides long. RefSeq lists it as uncharacterized. The record is from RefSeq and is a predicted model, not a curated record. Lineage: Eukaryota; Metazoa; Chordata; Mammalia; Rodentia; Muridae.